This 465-nucleotide ribosomal RNA is filed under the name uncultured bacterium. RNAcentral describes it as "partial 16S ribosomal RNA". It matches the Rfam family "Bacterial small subunit ribosomal RNA", at positions 28 to 507 of the family's 1533-position model. The record is from RNAcentral.
GACGAACGCUGGCGGCGUGCUUAACACAUGCAAGUCGAACGGAAAGGCCCUGCUUGCAGGGUACUCGAGUGGCGAACGGGUGAGUAACACGUGGGUGAUCUGCCCUGCACUUCUGGAUAAGCCUGGGAAACUGGGUCUAAUAUCGGAUAGGAGCCAUUUUUAGUGUGAUGGUUGGAAAGUUUUUUCGGUGUAGGAUGAGCUCGCGGCCUAUCAGCUUGUUGGUGGGGUAAUGGCCUACCAAGGCGGCGACGGGUAGCCGGCCUGAGAGGGUGGACGGCCACAUUGGGAAUGGGAUACGGGCCAGACUCCUACGGGAGGCAGCAGUGGGGAAUAUUGCACAAUGGGCGCAAGCCUGAUGCAGCGACGCCGCGUGGGGGGUGACGGCCUUCGGGUUGUAAACUCCUUUCGCUAGGGACGAAGCUUUUUGUGACGGUACCUAGAUAAGAAGCACCGGCUAACUACGUG